CGGUCACUGUGAAAGUCACUGUUAAAGGGGCAAUCACUGUGAAAGUCACUGUUAAAGGGGUGUCACUGUGAAAGUUACUGUUUAAGGGGCAGUCAUUGUAAAAGUCACUGAUAAAUAGGCGGUCACUGUGAAAGUCACUGUUAAAGGGGUGGUCACUGUUAAAGGGGCAGUCACUAUUAAAGGGGCG
Bufo bufo (common toad) is the source of this 187-nucleotide long non-coding RNA. RefSeq lists it as uncharacterized. NCBI's taxonomy places the organism in Eukaryota, Metazoa, Chordata, Amphibia, Anura, Bufonidae. The record is from RefSeq and is a predicted model, not a curated record. The transcript has 3 exons.